Molecule: ribosomal RNA, 301 nt
Filed under: uncultured bacterium
Lineage: Bacteria
Description: partial 16S ribosomal RNA
Rfam family: Bacterial small subunit ribosomal RNA
Source: RNAcentral
CAGUAGCCGCGGUAAUACAGAGGGUGCGAGCGUUAAUCGGAUUUACUGGGCGUAAAGCGUGCGUAGGCGGCUUUUUAAGUCGGAUGUGAAAUCCCUGAGCUUAACUUAGGAAUUGCAUUCGAUACUGGGAAGCUAGAGUAUGGGAGAGGAUGGUAGAAUUCCAGGUGUAGCGGUGAAAUGCGUAGAGAUCUGGAGGAAUACCGAUGGCGAAGGCAGCCAUCUGGCCUAAUACUGACGCUGAGGUACGAAAGCAUGGGGAGCAAACAGGUUUAGAUACCCGUGUAGUCCCUGUCUCUUAUAC